GACGAACGCUGGCGGCGUGCCUAACACAUGCAAGUCGAACGGUAAGGCCCUUCGGGGUACACGAGUGGCGAACGGGUGAGUAACACGUGGGUGAUCUGCCCUGCACUUCGGGAUAAGCCUGGGAAACUGGGUCUAAUACCGGAUAGGACCACUGCCUGCAUGGGUGGGGGUGGAAAGCUUUUGCGGUGUGGGAUGGGCCCGCGGCCUAUCAGCUGGUUGGUGGGGUGAUGGCCUACCAAGGCGACGACGGGUAGCCGGCCUGAGAGGGUGACCGGCCACACUGGGACUGAGAUACGGCCCAGACUCCUACGGGAGGCAGCAGUGGGGAAUAUUGCACAAUGGGCGCAAGCCUGAUGCAGCGACGCCGCGUGAGGGAUGACGGCCUUCGGGUUGUAAACCUCUUUCAGCACCGACGAAGCGCAAGUGACGGUAGGUGCAGAAGAAGGACCGGCCAACUACGUGCCAGCCGCCGCCGUAA
This 478-nucleotide ribosomal RNA is filed under the name uncultured bacterium. Its description in RNAcentral is "partial 16S ribosomal RNA". It matches the Rfam family "Bacterial small subunit ribosomal RNA", at positions 28 to 523 of the family's 1533-position model. The record is from RNAcentral.